CGAUGUGAGGGCCAUCUGCCUGCGACACCUGUCACCACACUGAUCUCUGUCACCACACUGAUCUCCAGCCUUGAGUCAGCCCAUGUGCCUGCCCAAGCCCAGGUCCCCUUCCUCACCCAGCGCUCCAUAUGCAUCCCUCCCAAAGCUGCUGGGGCACAGAGGACGACCUCUCCGAUACAGAUUGUACAUUUUAUCACUCAAGGCUAUUUGGUAGCUGCGCUCCCUGCCACAACCUUCAAACCCAACCAUGUUCCAUUCCUCCAUAGGAGGGCUUUCCCGGUAGUCAGACAUAAAAUUUUACGAAAAACAGGAUUUUACGCGUCCCAUGAAAUGGGAGGCAUUCAUG
Molecule: unclassified non-coding RNA, 346 nt
Organism: Cyanistes caeruleus (blue tit)
Lineage: Eukaryota; Metazoa; Chordata; Aves; Passeriformes; Paridae
Gene: 7SK
Rfam family: 7SK RNA
About the family: 7SK was discovered as an abundant small nuclear RNA in the mid-70s but a possible function has only recently been suggested. Two independent studies have found that 7SK RNA binds the CDK9/cyclin T complex (known as elongation factor P-TEFb).
Source: Ensembl